This is a long non-coding RNA of Panicum virgatum (switchgrass), 1359 nucleotides long. RefSeq lists it as uncharacterized. Lineage: Eukaryota; Viridiplantae; Streptophyta; Magnoliopsida; Poales; Poaceae. The transcript is spliced from 2 exons. The record is from RefSeq and is a predicted model, not a curated record.
GUUAUACCCAUCCGUGAAAAAUUUUUGCAAAUAAAUUUUGUUUAGUACUUCAUACACGCAAGAUUCUUUUUAAAGCGUGAGUAGUGUGGAUAAACCAAACAGGGCCAAGCUUAUCCAACUAUCGAUUCACGUCCCCAAACCCAGUACCCGAACAAAAUGAGAGCUUAUACCAUUGCAUUACUGUGUGCAAAUGGGAGUGCAACACCUGCCACUGUCAAUAGGCGGUGUGCAGCUGGGAAAUCGAGGGCUCUCAUGCCAUCGGGUUACCGUACGCGAGCGCAAAUAAAAAAAAGCCUUUAUCGUCCGUGAGUUGCUCACAUGUACUACAUGGCUGUUGUGCGUCCAUCUCAUACAGUGGAAAAUAGCGUCUCGCACGUGGUUCAGUCUGUCGUCCUUACCUCACGAACAAAUUGCACGCUUGCUGACGCCGCUGGUAACAAUUCAACGCAAGAUGCAGUGCGGCCGAUGCCACGAGGCUUGCUGGAAGCUCAUCAGGCUUUAGAACUCCAUGAGGUCCCGCCCCUUGGGGCUUAGCCAUGUUCUGCGGCCAAAGUGCUUGCCGUUGUCAACAGGCGGCAGCUCAGGAGCUUCAUCAAACCUCGAGAGAUAUAUAAACACAAUUAGCCAUGUAUGUUCAGUGUCUAAAGCUUCCAUCGGCGUUCAAGCAACUGUUGGAUCAGGUUGCAUAGAAAAGAAAAGAAAAGAAAAAAAGGAGGUGCGAAAAGUUUGUGCUCACUUACAGUUUUUGCUAUGUCUAGCUUAUGCCUCACAUUAUGUAUUCAUGUGUCAUUCGCUCACUUUCUAUUUUUGCUAAGUCUCUUUGCUUUUUCAUUAUGGAUGGUCCAGAUAAAAUAUUGCGAAAAUUACCUAUUUGACAUUAGGAAAGAUUAGGUUUGCUCAUUUGACACUAAAAUAUCAAAACUUGCUCAUAUAUCUCCAUCUGAAAAUUUUGUUGCCAGUUGCAACACAAUAUGUACUGGCGCGGCGAAGCGCGCCCAAACAACCUAGUUGCUUUGAGGACCCAAGAUCCUCCCCUGCCGUGAGCACCUAAUAAUUAAUAAGUGCUAGAAUGAGGCAACUGGAUAUGACUGUGAUAGCCUAUUUCCUUUUGCCUUCCAUUCCACUAUGAGAAUAUAUUUGCUAAUUUCUUCUGAACUGCAGCACCUGACCUGCUCUUUCCCCUUCAUGUUAAGCUGGCUAGCUCGUUCUUCUGGUGGUGGCAAAGUGAAUAUAUAAUAUGGGGAAGCUAUCAUCAAAUAUAUAUAAUUGUACACAGAGCCGUGUUGUAUACUAGUUAUUGUGGGUUGGUGAAUAAUAUAUAGGAUGUUAUACUGGUUAACCAAUCUAUAAUGUUUGCAA